CAGCAUCCGCGGUAAUACGUAGGGUGCGAGCGUUAAUCGGAUUUACUGGGCGUAAAGCGUGCGCAGGCGGCCCGUUAAGACAGGUGUGAAAUCCCUGGGCUCAACCUAGGAAUUGCGCUUGUGACUGGCGGGCUCGAGUACGGUAGAGGGGGGUGGAAUUCCUGGUGUAGCAGUGAAAUGCGUAGAGAUCAGGAGGAACACCGAUGGCGAAGGCAGCCCCCUGGGCCUGUACUGACGCUCAUGCACGAAAGCGUGGGGAGCAAACAGGAUUAGAUUCCCUGGUGGUCCACGCCCUAAACAAUGGGUACUAGCCGGUUGGUGCGCGAGAGCGCUGAGUGGCGAAGCUAACGCGUGAAGUACCCCGCCUGGGGAGUACGGCCGCAAGGUUGAAACUUAAAGGAAUUGGCGGG
RNAcentral lists this ribosomal RNA (410 nucleotides) under uncultured microorganism. RNAcentral describes it as "bacterial SSU rRNA". It matches the Rfam family "Bacterial small subunit ribosomal RNA", at positions 509 to 917 of the family's 1533-position model. The record is from RNAcentral.